Nerophis ophidion (straightnose pipefish) is the source of this 3522-nucleotide long non-coding RNA. RefSeq lists it as uncharacterized. Lineage: Eukaryota; Metazoa; Chordata; Actinopteri; Syngnathiformes; Syngnathidae. The transcript is spliced from 3 exons. The record is from RefSeq and is a predicted model, not a curated record.
ACUUUGAAAGCUUGCCCAGGCAUCCGCUCUCGCUUGCUAUUGUUUGGCGUUAUAACCAUAAUUUAACUUUACAACAAGAUACACAGUUCAGUUUUCGUCUUUUGGCUUUGUGGAAUUCGAGACGCUAAACAUAUUCGCCAGCCAGCGUCUGAACGCGGCCUUCGUAGAAACAUUUGAAUACUUUGAGAGGACACUUAUGGAAUAGGAAGAGGAGCGCCAUAAUUGGAAGCUGCUAGAUGUUUUUGUAAGAGCUUAAAUAAAACGGCCAUACACAGGUGUCUUGACGCCAGUGUCUCAGGGGAGUCGACGGCAGAUAUGGACGGCACAAGCUCAGCUUUUCUCCGGAAAGUUUCACCUCCAGGAAUUUUAAACAAGGAAUCACCGUGUGUUUGUGUGGCUAAAGGGUAAAGCUUCCCAACUCCAUCUUUCUACUGUGACUUCUCCAAUAUUAACUGAAUAAAUUGCAAAAGAUUCAGCAACACAGAUGUCCAAAAAACUGUAUAAUUAUGCCGUUAAAGCAGACGACAUUUAGCUGUGUGUGUGCGCAGCGCUCAUACUUCCUAAAAACCUGUGACGUCUUGCGUACACGUCAUCAUUACACGACGUUUUGAAGAUGAAAUUCCAGGGAAAUUUAAAAUUGUAAUUUAGUAAACUAAGAAGCAUGUGUUGCAAUGUUAAUAUUUCAUCAUUGAUAUAUAAAGUAUCAGACUGUGUGGUGGGUAGUAGUGGGUUUCAAUAGGCCUUUAUUGGUCAAUUGUACAAAAUAUACUAAUAAAGGAAUCAAUCAAUCAAUCCUCCAACUUUAUUCUAAUGAGUUCCGGGCAGGGUGGUGCAUGGUCAUCCUUGCUCUGCUUGAGGGUUUUGAAACUCCCGCCUUUUCGCUUGGUAAAGACACACAUUGAUGACGUUUAUUCUCGGGCCAAUGAACACAGGCUUGUUAAAGGCCUACUGAAACUAGAUGUUUUUAUUUAAACGGGGAUAGCAAGUCAAUUCUCUGUGUCAUACUUGAUCAUUUUGCGAUAUUGCCAUAUUUUUGCUGAAAGGAUUUAGUAGAGAACAUCGACGAUAAAGUUUGCAACUUUUGGUCGCUAAUAGAAAAGCCCUGCCUUUACCGGAAGUAUGUGCGUGUGACGUCACGAGUUGCAGGGCUCCACAGAUAUUCACAUUGUAUUUAAUGGGAGCCACCAGCAGUAAGAGCAAUUCGGACCGAGAAAGCGUCAAUUUCACCAUUAAUUUGAGCGAGGAUGAAAGAUUCGUGAAUUAGGAUAUUGAUAGUGAAGGACUAGGGAAAAAAAAAAGCGGCGGCAGUGUGAGCGUUUCAGAUGUAAUUAGACACAUUUACUAGGAUAAUUCUGGAAGAUCCCUUCUCUGCUUAUUGUUUUAAUAGUGUUUUAGUGAGAUUUUAAAGAUUGUAAAGACAUACCUCAAGGUCGGAUGGCUGCGGUGAACACAAAGUGUCUCAGAGAGAAGCCGAGGAGCCAAGCUCACAGCUGCCUUUUAAACAGCUGCUGCAGGACGACGAAUAAUCCAAUGAUUUCUCCGGUAAGAUAUAUAUCACAAUUUCCCCAUCCAAAGACAUGCUGGUUGACGUAGAGAAAACAUGUUCACUGGACCGCUCUGUGUUAAAGCUUCACAACAAACAAAGAAACACCGGCUGUGUCUCGGUGCUAAAGACAGCUGCAAUACACCGCUUUCCACCAACAGCAUUGUUCUUUAUAGUCUUCGUUAUUAAAUGAACAAAUUGCAAAAGAUUCAGCAACACAGAUGUCCAAAAUACUGUGAAAUUACGCCAUGAACAGAGACGACUUUUAACCGUGUUUGGUGCAGAGCUAAUAUUUCCUGACAGUCCGUGACGUCACCCGUACACGUCAUCAUUCCGCGACAUUUUCAGCAAGAAACUUGCGGGAAAUUUUAAAUUGCAAUUUAGUAAACUAAAAAGGCCGUAUUGGCAUGUGUUGUAAUGUUAAUAUUUCAUCAUUGAUAUAUAAACUAUCAGACUGCGUGGUCGGUAGUAGUGGGUUUCAGUAGGCCUUUAAAACUAAAGCUAAAAAACAAUAUUCACAUUUUUUUUAAAUGAGACAAAUUGUUAUGUUAUAAGACUUUUUUAUUUUGUUUCGUCUGUAUUUUUGUAUUUUAUUUUCUUGAACAUAUUUUGUUCGUUAUGGAUUUUUUUUAUAUGUCUGUUACGUUUUUUAUUUAUAUACGCGCCACUUAAGAUGUCCUUCCCUUCCUCUCCAACCUCAAACAGUGGUACGGAGAGGACCCCACAUGCCCCCUUUGUCCAUCUCCAGCUAACCUCAAACACAUUCUGGUUGUCUGCAAGACAAGUCUGUCAUAAGGGCGCCACAUCUGGCGGCACAACCAGGUUCUGAAGUGUCUACAGCCACGUUAGAGGCCAGAAGAGUGAAGAUCAAUGCCUGUCCCCGCCAAAAGUACAUCAUACAGCCACAAGAGAGUUAAUCCGAGAAGGUGCAGAGUCCACCAAAGGCCAUAUACCAGACAUAGGCCAGCUCGGAAUGGCUCGUGACUGGAAAAUGGCGGUGGAUCUUGAUCAAAAGCUCUGCUUUCCUUCAGAAAUAGCCAGAUCAAACAUCAGACCAGACCUUGUGCUCUGGUCCUCCUCACUGCAUAUUGUGUAUAGAAUAGAACUCACGGUUCCCUGGGAGGCUGCGGUGGAAAAGGCAUUCGAACGCAAAAGCCUUAAGUACACCGAACUGGCAGCUGAUGCCAAGCAGAUUGGUUGGAAAGCCAAGGUCUGCCCAAUGGAAGUUGGCUGCAGAGGUUUUGUGGGCCGGACAACCAUCAUGCUGCUUAAGGACAUCGGAGUUCAAGGCCAAACCCUGCGAAACACCAUCAAAGCCCUCUCAGGAGCGGCAGAGACAGUCAGUCGGUGGCUAUGGGUGAAGAGGAGAGACACCAUCUGGAGCUCUAGUAAGACCUACAUCACAUAAUGGUUAGAGGCAGAGGGGGGCUCACCUGGGAUGCCAGGUGUUGCUGAUGAGCCCUCUGGAGGUGUCGUGGGCCUAUCAUUGAAACGCCGGUGAAGGAGGAUGCCCACCUGAUGACCCCAAUGAAGCUGACAACCAUUCCCCUUCCUCCUCUCUGUCCCCCAUCUUGCAAUCCCACCCAACCAAGUCCAACACCAUAACCGUUCUGAAGCAGCUCUGAAGGAGGUAGCCUAUUAUUUCCACUCUACUCAGGUUAUUUUGUAUCAUGGGAUUGUUCUAUCUAGGCCUAAAAUUUAACUAAUUGUGGCACAGGGGUUAGUGCAUGUGCCUCACAAUACGAAGGUCCUGGGUUCGAUCUUUCUGUGUGGAGUUUGCAUGUUCUCUCUAUGACUGCAUGGGUUCCCUCCGGGUACUCUGGCUUCCUCAAACCUCCAAAGACAUGCACCUUGGGAUAGGUUGAUUGGCAACACUAAAUAGUCCUUUAGUGUGUGAAUGUGAGUGUGACUGUUGUCUGUCUAUCUGUGUUGGCCCUGCGAUGAGGUGGCGACUUGUCCAGGGUGUACGCCGCCUUCCG